GUAGUUGUGGCCGAAUGGUUAAGGCAAUGGACUCGAAAUCCAUUGGGGUCUCCCCGCGCAGGUUCGAGUCCUGCUGACUACG
Non-coding RNA from Danio rerio (zebrafish), 82 nucleotides. NCBI's taxonomy places the organism in Eukaryota, Metazoa, Chordata, Actinopteri, Cypriniformes, Danionidae. The record is from Rfam.